GAUGAACGCUGGCGGCGUGCCUAAUACAUGCAAGUCGAGCGAACAGAUGAGGAGCUUGCUCCUCUGACGUUAGCGGCGGACGGGUGAGUAACACGUGGAUCACCUACCUAUAAGACUGGGAUAACUUCGGGAAACCGGAGCUAAUACCGGAUAAUAUAUUGAACCGCAUGGAUCAAUAGUGAAAGACGGUUUUGCUGUCACUUAUAGAUGGAUCCGCGCCGCAUUAGCUAGUUGGUAAGGUAACGGCUUACCAAGGCAACGAUGCGUAGCCGACCUGAGAGGGUGAUCGGCCACACUGGAACUGAGACACGGUCCAGACUCCUAAGGGAGGCAGCAGUAGGGAAUCUUCCGCAAUGGGCGAAAGCCUGACGGAGCAACGCCGCGUGAGUGAUGAAGGUCUUCGGAUCGUAAAACUCUGUUAUUAGGGAAGAACAAAUGUGUAAGUAAAUAUGCACGUCUUGACGGUACCUAAACAGAAAGCCACGGCUAACUACGUG
This 497-nucleotide ribosomal RNA is filed under the name uncultured bacterium. RNAcentral's name for it is "partial 16S ribosomal RNA". It matches the Rfam family "Bacterial small subunit ribosomal RNA", at positions 28 to 507 of the family's 1533-position model. The record is from RNAcentral.